Molecule: ribosomal RNA, 432 nt
Filed under: uncultured bacterium
Lineage: Bacteria
Description: partial 16S ribosomal RNA
Rfam family: Bacterial small subunit ribosomal RNA
Source: RNAcentral
AACGAACGCUGGCGGCAUGCCUAACACAUGCAAGUCGAACGAGACCUUCGGGUCUAGUGGCGCACGGGUGCGUAACGCGUGGGAACCUGCCCUUAGGUUCGGAAUAACUCCCCGAAAGGGGUGCUAAUACCGGAUAAUGUCUUCGGACCAAAGAUUUAUCGCCUUUGGAUGGGCCCGCGUUGGAUUAGCUAGUUGGUAGGGUAAAAGCCUACCAAGGCGACGAUCCAUAGCUGGUCUGAGAGGAUGAUCAGCCACACUGGGACUGAGACACGGCCCAGACUCCUACGGGAGGCAGCAGUGGGGAAUAUUGGACAAUGGGUGAAAGCCUGAUCCAGCAAUGCCGCGUGAGUGAUGAAGGCCUUAGGGUUGUAAAGCUCUUUUACCCGGGAUGAUAAUGACAGUACCGGGAGAAUAAGCUCCGGCUAACUCCGU